Non-coding RNA from Pelobates cultripes (western spadefoot toad), 352 nucleotides. The record is from the annotation of a GenBank genome assembly. NCBI's taxonomy places the organism in Eukaryota, Metazoa, Chordata, Amphibia, Anura, Pelobatidae.
UUUUUUUUUUUUUAAAUGUUAUAUGGAGCAUGUGUGUAAUGCAAACUAUUUUGAACUCCCAGAUGAGUCAAUGAAAGCAAGGUGUUUUAGAAAUCCAUCAGUUAAAAAAACAAAAAACCUUGCUGAAAGAUCUAAAAGUAAUCAUUACAAGGUAAAUUGAGCUUUAAAAAUCUGAUAGUUCAAUUAAUGGAACACUAUAGCCUUCGGAAUACAAAACUGUAUGCCCCUGUCCCUAAUAGUUUAGGUUCCUCCCAGCACAUGAAAGGGUUAAAAUCCUUUUAACACUCAACUUAGCAACUUAAUUCCAGCGCUGAGUUCCCUCAAUUCAGAAGUGCUCUACUCCUACUGCAAC